RNAcentral lists this unclassified non-coding RNA (249 nucleotides) under uncultured Pleosporales. RNAcentral's name for it is "sequence contains ITS2". Lineage: Eukaryota; Fungi; Ascomycota; Dothideomycetes; Pleosporales. The record is from RNAcentral.
AACGCACAUUGCGCCCCUUGGUAUUCCAUUGGGCAUGCCUGUUCGAGCGUCAUUUACACCCUCAAGCUCCGCUUGGUGUUGGGCGUCUGUCCUUGCUACACGCAAAGACUCGCCUUAAAUUCAUUGGCAGUGGCACCGUCGGCUUCUCGCGCAGCACAUUGCGCUAUAGAAGGCUACCGGCAGUCCAGCUACCAUCAAGAAACUACCCAGUUUGACCUCGAAUCAGGUAGGGAUACCCGCUGAACUUAA